UUUUUAUGAGAGUUUGAUCCUUGCUCAGGACGAACGCUGGCGGCGUGCCUAAUACAUGCAAGUCGAACGCUUCUUUUUCCACCGGAGCUUGCUCCACCGGAAAAAGAGGAGUGGCGAACGGGUGAGUAA
This 129-nucleotide ribosomal RNA is filed under the name Enterococcus faecium. RNAcentral's name for it is "partial 16S ribosomal RNA". It matches the Rfam family "Bacterial small subunit ribosomal RNA", at positions 1 to 113 of the family's 1533-position model. Lineage: Bacteria; Bacillati; Bacillota; Bacilli; Lactobacillales; Enterococcaceae. The record is from RNAcentral.